Molecule: ribosomal RNA, 467 nt
Filed under: uncultured bacterium
Lineage: Bacteria
Description: partial 16S ribosomal RNA
Rfam family: Bacterial small subunit ribosomal RNA
Source: RNAcentral
GACGAACGCUGGCGGCGUGCUUAACACAUGCAAGUCGAACGGAAAGGCCUCUUUCGGGGGGUACUCGAGUGGCGAACGGGUGAGUAACACGUGAGUAACCUGCCCUUGACUUUGGGAUAACUUCAGGAAACUGGGGCUAAUACCGGAUAGGAGCUCCUGCUGCAUGGUGGGGGUUGGAAAGUUUCGGCGGUUGGGGAUGGACUCGCGGCUUAUCAGCUUGUUGGUGGGGUAGUGGCUUACCAAGGCCUUGACGGGUAGCCGGCCUGAGAGGGUGACCGGCCACAUUGGGACUGAGAUACGGCCCAGACUCCUACGGGAGGCAGCAGUGGGGAAUCUUGCACAAUGGGUGGAAGCCUGAUGCAGCAACGCCGUGUGCGGGAUGACGGCCUUCGGGUUGUAAACCGCUUUCGCUCAUGACGAAGCUUUGUGUGACGGUAGUGGGUAAAGAAGCACCGGCUAACUACGUG